UACGAAGGGGGCUAGCGUUGCUCGGAAUCACUGGGCGUAAAGCGUGCGCAGGCGGCUUUGCAAGACAGAUGUGAAAUCCCCGGGCUCAACCUGGGAACUGCAUUUGUGACUGCAUGGCUAGAGUACGGUAGAGGGGGAUGGAAUUCCGCGUGUAGCAGAGAAAUGCGUAGAUAUGCGGAGGAACACCGAUGGCGAAGGCAAUCCCCUGGACCUGUACUGACGCUCAUGCACGAAAGCGUGGGGAGCAAACAGG
Molecule: ribosomal RNA, 253 nt
Filed under: uncultured bacterium
Lineage: Bacteria
Description: partial 16S ribosomal RNA
Rfam family: Bacterial small subunit ribosomal RNA
Source: RNAcentral